GUGAAAAGUAAAAAACACGCGUCGGGAAGGUGCGCCAUCGGUAGGGAAAAGCCGUCGUCGAUUUUACCCAUUCUGGUCCCCGGAAAAGCAGGCAUCGACAGGCUCGCUCCACCGAUUGGCCGCCAUCGGAUUCUUCCGAGCAGGACGACUGCCGGAACGGGCAAAAAAAAAACGUGGGCUACAAAUUAGCCAUCACUGCCUUUCUACUCAUCAUCAUAAUCCGUAAACAUCCGGAGGCACAUCCGGAAGCACGAGGGUGGCUCAGCGGAUAGAUAUCCGAGCAAACCGGAAAGGCUUGCUAAAGCUAUCGGCCAACAAAGAAAAGGGCCACAGACGCCCGGAAAAUUGCCAGCCAAGAAGGAAACAAUCAUCAAAAGGGGUCGAGAG
This is a long non-coding RNA of Uranotaenia lowii, 387 nucleotides long. RefSeq lists it as uncharacterized. Lineage: Eukaryota; Metazoa; Arthropoda; Insecta; Diptera; Culicidae. The record is from RefSeq and is a predicted model, not a curated record. The transcript has 3 exons.